Coffea arabica (coffee) is the source of this 8278-nucleotide non-coding RNA. The record is from RefSeq and is a predicted model, not a curated record. NCBI's taxonomy places the organism in Eukaryota, Viridiplantae, Streptophyta, Magnoliopsida, Gentianales, Rubiaceae.
ACUUCCAUUAUUGGACACAGAAAACAAAAGAGCUGGAAGAAGGAUCAUGCAUGCAUUUAGUUACUUCCAUUAUUGCCUUAUUGGACACAAAAGCGGGAAAGACAAUCAGAAAGAGGAGCAUCGUAGAUCACACCUAGUGACUACUUCAAUGUGAUAAAAUAUCAACGCGAAAUCAACUCUGAACUCCGAACUCUGAAGCUGCGUAUAACAGAAGGGAGAAUAUUUUGUGAGAGGAUCUACGGGCAAAAGCUAUGUAAUCUUCUCUUGCACUCUUUCUUCAACCUUGACUUGUUUCUUUCUUGUCCUGACUCCUGAUCAUAUAUAUGUGUGUGACGGUUAAGAAUCCACGAGUUUGAAUACCAGACACCUUGGGCUGCAUGAAUAAUUGAAUAUAUAUCCUCCGGUUGAUUUCAUACGGAACCCACCUCUAGAUUUUGUAAAGCAGUUGGUGCUGGAUGACAGAGUAAUAAAAUUUACUCUGUUUUCUAUCAAAAAAAAAAAAAAUUGAAUAUAUGCCCUUUAGUUGAAAGAUGGGUUAGUGGAUGGCUUUAUAUUUUCAAAUACACUUGACUCUUGAGUCAUUUGAUCUGGAGGCCUUAUUGGAUUCAAUGAGUCCAUGGUAUCUAAUUAUCUAUUGUCUAAAAGGGACUGCAUUCUAAUAAGUGGUCAAUAAUGGCCUAAUUGUAAUCAACUUAUUUUGAAUUUUUGACUCAACCAUCUCAAUUAUAAAAAUCUCUCAAAAAAAAAAGUAAAAUUUAUAUCUAUUUUGUGUUAAUAGUGAUGUAGUGUAUCCUUGAGAGUGAAGUUAUGGAUAUUGGUUAAUUAUAAAUUGCACCUUGAUUAAAAUAUUUACCAUUAAUGCUCUGUUCCUUGAACUAUCCAUUUUUAGCUGUACAAGAUUAGAGUUGAAAGCAACUUUCAACGAGUCGGACAGAGUUAUGUUCAGAAUUGAUUUGAAAAUUAAAAGGAAUGUUUGAACUUGGAUUGUGUUUGAUAAUUUUUUGAAAGAAAUUGAUCGAGUUUGGCUUGAAAUUUUUGAUGUACAUGAAAAGCUUGGUUUGGCUUAUCUUAGUAUCGAAUCCAAGCACAUAAAAUCAAUACUUGGUUUGGCUUGAAAUUGCAUGUUGUAUUAUAUAGAGAUUUUCACCCUAAUUUGUUGCUUUUUUUCCCUUAAUUUCUGCUCUCUAAUAUUCAAGAAAUCUAUUAUGAUGAAUUACGGAUGUGAUUAAAAUCAAUUAUGCCUAUUCAAGAGAUAAGAGUAUUAUAUGUUUGCUAUUUUACAAGAUAAGCAAUAUAAGGAAAGGAAAGAAGCUAAGUUAAGGAAGGAGACUUUAUGUAUAUUUUUAUGAAAUUUACUUGCUUUAUGUGUUUCUGAACAUAUCGAGUCGGACAAUGUGAAAAUUGUGAUUGGAUUGUUAAUAUUUUCGAGUUUGAAGUUAUGUUCGGGUUUGGAUUGAUAGCUAAAUAAACAAGUUUGUACGAGUCUGGUUUGAAUUGAGUUUAAGUCGAGUACCAAAUUGUUUUGUUCGAUUUAUAGACCUAUACAAUAUCUCAAAUUGGAAAGAAUAAAGGUGGAAGGGUAGCAGUGAAACUGACUUUCAUGUGGAAGAAGAAAUAUUUAUGGGGCAAUUCGAGUUUAACUUGAAGUUCUUUACAAGACAGAUGAAACUGUAAUUUAAGCAUGCGGCCAAUUUUAAUAGUUUAGGAUCGAUGCAAAUUGCAAUCUAAGCAUAGUUAAGGGGUGGAAAAUGAAAUUAACCCUGGAAAUAUUUCAUUUUAAAUUAUGCAAUGAAUUGCAAGUUAAAGGUAGUUGAGCGCUGCAAUUAAAAGUUAAGCAGGGUAAAAUGCAAUGUGAGAAUAGUUUGGGGUGUAAAAUACAAUUAGCUUUUUUUGGCCAAAAAAAUGAAACAAAAAUAAAAUUAGAGAGUCUGAGAAAAGAAGAGCAAAUUACCCCGAUAGCUACUAUAUUUUUUGAAUAGUUAAGAUUUCACCACUCAACUACUAACAGUAUGUUUUUACUCGUUGAACUCUCAAAUGUGUAAAUUUUGGGUCAUUCCGUCUGAUUUUAUUGUUAAUUUUGUCAAAUCUAACUAUUAAUAGUAUAUUUCAUAAAUCAUGCUAAUAUGUAGAGUUAACGGUCGAAUCAAAUGGAAUGGUCCAAAAUUUAUAUUUUUGAUAUUUCAGAAGUAAAAAUAUACUAUUAAUAGUUGAGUGACCAAAACUUGACCAUUCGAAAAGUUCAGUGGCUAUUCAGAUAAUUUGCUUGAGAAAAGAAAGUAGGCAACCGUUGGCCCAUGGUUCCACUUUUCAUUGUGCUUAAUUAAUACAUGACAUUUAAAAGCCAAACAAUUGUAACCGUGGGAAGUGAGGUGGCCUAAUUAUUAAAUAAGAUUGAUAAAAGCCUUAUAAAAAAAAGGAGGGGGCCUCGAGAAAACAAAAGAAUGGGAAGGAUCGUGCAUGCAUUUAGUUACUUCCAUUAUUGGACACAAAAGCGGGAAAGACAAUCAGAAAGAGGAGCGUCGCAGAUCACACACACCUAGUGACUACACACCGCUUAAACUCUUUAGCAACGUAAACAAAACGGAGAAAAUUUUGUGAGUGGAUCUACCAGCAAAAGCAUGUGAAACAGCCGCUUCAACUUCAUUAUCCGAUGGGUGAUAUACUAUCCUCAUUGCUCAAGAACGCUUGUGUAUCUAUGUAGCAUUAUCCUUUUUCCCUGAAAAAUGAUAGUUUUAUUAUGCAAUAAGAGAAAAGGUCUAAAAUGGCUGAGUUAGUAGGAAGAGAUGAUGUAGAAUCGUUAGGAAUUGAGUUGUCAGAGUUGGGAAGGAGCUUAAGAGAAUCAUUUCAUACUUGUAAUGCGAGUUUCAGAAGCAUUUCAGCCUUAAGUAAUGGAAAGGAUGAUGAACCUGAUGAAGAACUUGCAUUGCAGUGGGCUGCUAUUGAUAAACUGCCUACUUUCAAACGGAUGAAAUCACCUGUGUUUGAUGAGGAUAGCGGCAAUGAAGCUGAUACUAAAAGAAGACGGGUAAUUGAUGUCACUAAGCUUGGUGCACUGGAGAGGCAUUUGUUCAUUGAGAAGCUCAUUAGGCAUGUUGAGCAUGACAACUUUAAACUGUUGCAGAAAAUCAGGAAGAGAAUUGACAGAGUUGGCGUGCAAUUGCCUACAGUGGAAGUAAGGUACAGCAAUCUCCAUGUAGCAGCAGAAUUUGAAGUUGUUUCAGGAAAGCCGCUUCCAACACUUUGGAAUUCUUUCAAAAGCAUGUUUUCAGAUCUUGCAAGGGUUGCUGGUUUAAAGUCACAAGUAUCGAAGAUCUGUAUCCUUAGUGAUGUUAGUGGUAUCAUUAAGCCAGGAAGAAUGACUCUUCUAUUAGGUCCUCCAGGAUGCGGGAAGACAUCAUUCUUGAAAGCACUUUCAGGAAAUCUUGACAAAUCUCUCCAGGUUACGGGAGAGAUAACUUACAAUGGAUACAAAUUCUCAGAAUUUGUACCCCAGAAAACCUCUGCUUACAUAAGCCAAUAUGAUAUUCACAUUCCAGAAAUGACUGUUAGGGAAACACUAGAUUUUUCAGCUCGUUGUCAGGGUGUUGGGAGUAGAGCAGCUAUAAUGUGUGAGCUCAGUCGAAGGGAGAUAAAGGCAGGAAUUCUCCCAGAUCCAGAUAUAGACACUUACAUGAAGGCAAUUUCUGUUGAAGGGCAAGAUACAACUCUCCAAACAGAUAAUAUUCUGAAAAUACUUGGACUUGACAUAUGCGACAAUACAUUUGUUGGAGACGCCAUGAGGAGAGGUAUCUCUGGUGGCCAAAAGAAAAGGUUGACAACAGGGGAGAUGAUUGUUGGCCCUACAAGAGCUUUAUUUAUGGAUGAAAUUUCUAAUGGACUGGAUAGUUCAACCACAUAUCAGAUAGUGUCUUGCCUUCAGCAGCUUGCACAUAUAACAGAUGCCACUAUACUCAUGUCACUUCUUCAGCCAGCACCAGAAACAUUUGACUUGUUUGACGACAUCAUCUUGAUGUCUGAGGGAAAGGUUGUGUAUCAUGGACCACGAAAUAAUAUUCUCGAAUUUUUUGAGAGUUGUGGAUUUACAUGUCCUGAAAGAAAAGGAGUUGCUGAUUUCCUACAGGAGAUUAUCUCGAGAAAAGAUCAAGCACAGUACUGGUAUCGAAGUGAAGAAACAUAUCUUUACCAUUCUGUUGAUAUGUUAUCAAGGAAAUUUAAUGAAUCUUGUUAUGGAAAGAAGCUUGAAAGGCCAUUCAUGAAGUGCAUGGACUGCAAAAAUGCUAUCAUCUUGAGCAGGUUUUCGGUUCCUAAGUGGGAACUCUUCAGAGCUUGUAUGUGGAGAGAGUUUCUUCUCAUGAAAAGAAAUGCUUUUGUUUAUGUUUUCAAAUCGGUUCAGCUCCUUAUUGUUGCUUCCAUUACUAUGACCGUAUUUCUACGAACACGGAUGGGUGCUGAUGUUCUCCACGCAAAUUAUUACCUGGGAGCUCUCUUUUUUGCUCUCAUCAUGCUUCUAGUUAAUGGAAAUCCAGAGCUGCCAAUGACUGUUGCAAGACUGGGAAUCUUUUAUAAACAGCGAGACUUGUACUUGUACCCGGCUUGGGCAUAUGCAAUCCCAUCUGCUAUUCUAAAGGUUCCUAUCUCUUUGCUGGAAGCUGUGGUAUGGACUUCUUUAACUUACUAUGUCAUUGGAUAUAGCCCUGAGGUUGGGAGGUUCUUCCGCCAACUGAUUUUACUAUUUUCCAUUCACCUGACAUCAAUAUCCAUGUUCCGUUUUAUUGCAUCUGUCUGCCAAACCGUGGUUGCUUCUACAGCAGUUGCUAGCUUAUCGAUAUCAUUUGUCCUGCUGUUUAGCGGCUUCAUAAUCAAUAGGCCCUCUAUGCCAAUUUGGUUGAAAUGGGGAUUUUGGGUGUCUCCAUUAACAUAUGGUGAGAUUGGCCUUGCUUUGAAUGAAUUUCUUGCCCCACGGUGGCAGAAGAUGCUUCCUUCAAACGCAACAAUAGGACAAGAAACACUUGAAAGCCGCGGGUUGAGCUUUGAUGGUCACUUGUUUUGGAUUUCAGUUGGGGCUCUAUUUGGGUUUACAUUGUUCUUCAACAUCGGUUUCAUGUUAGCCUUAACUUUCUUAAAACCCCCCGGCUUUCGCACUAUUAUUUCGAGUGAAAAGCUUUCUCAAAUACGAGGUGACAAAGACUCCACCAUAGUAGGAACUCCACAAAAUUUGAGAAACUCCAUUGGACCUUAUGAAGGCAAAAUGGUUUUGCCUUUUGAACCAUUGACUGUAGUCUUUCAAGAUCUGCAGUACUACAUUGACACUCCAGUGGAAGUAAAGGAGCAUGGAUUUAGCAGGAAAAAGCUCCAACUUCUUUGUGACAUUACGGGCGCAUUCAGACCCGGUGUUCUUACAGCACUUAUGGGUGUAACUGGAGCUGGAAAAACAACUCUUCUAGAUGUCCUUGCAGGUAGAAAAACAAGUGGUCUUGUCAAAGGAGACAUAAGAAUUGGAGGUUUUCCCAAAGUUCAAAAGACAUUUGCUCGGAUAUCGGGUUACUGUGAGCAAACAGACAUUCAUUCUCCACAAAUUACUGUUGAAGAGUCAGUUAUUUUUUCUGCUUGGCUGCGUCUUCAUCCUCAGAUUGAUUCAGUGACUAAAUCUGGCUUUGUGAAGGAGGUCUUAGAAACUAUUGAGCUUGAUCAAAUAAAAGAUUCUCUUGUGGGCAUUCCAGGCGUUAGUGGCUUGUCAACUGAGCAGCGUAAGCGACUUACAAUUGCCGUUGAGCUGGUUGCUAACCCCUCUGUUAUAUUCAUGGAUGAACCUACCACUGGAUUGGAUGCAAGAUCUGCUGCAAUUGUCAUACGGGCUGUAAAGAAUGUGGCUGAUACAGGAAGAACAAUUGUUUGCACUAUCCACCAACCAAGCAUCGAUAUAUUUGAAGCAUUCGAUGAGUUGAUUCUCUUGAAAUCAGGAGGGCGCAUGAUAUACUCUGGACCACUGGGGAGACAAUCCAGUAAAGUUAUAGAAUAUUUUGAGGAGAUCUCAGGUGUGCCAAAGAUUAGAAACAACUAUAAUCCAGCUACAUGGAUGUUAGAGGUCACUUCUACAUCUUCUGAGGCUGAAAUUGGUGUAGACUUUGCUCAAAUUUAUCAGAAUUCUACUUUGUACGAGGAUACUAGAGAACUUGUGAAGCGACUGAGCAUUCCACCUCCUGGUUCAAAAGCUUUGGAUUUUCCAACUCGUUUUUCAUUGAGUGGAUGGGGACAGUUUAAGGCUUGCCUCUGGAAGCAAUUUUGGUCCUACUGGAGAAGUCCCUCGUACAAUUUAGUCCGAUUGCUGCUAAUGCUUAUACAAUCUCUGCUUUUUGGCAUCCUGUUCUGGGAUCAAGGGAAGAAGCUAAAUGAUCAGCAGAGCGUAUUCAAUAUUCUUGGUUCGAUGUUCAGCGCUGUAAUCUUCUGUGGUAUAAACAAUUCCUCUUCAGCUCUGCCAUAUGUCAGCAAAGAGCGCACCGUCCUCUACCGAGAAAGAUUUGCGGGAAUGUAUUCUUCAUGGGCUUGUGCACUUGCGCAGGUUACUAUCGAGAUUCCCUACAUCUUUGCCCAAGCAAUUAUAUACACAAUCAUCACAUAUCCAAUGAUUGGAUAUUAUUGGUCAAUUUAUAAGGUUUUCUGGUACUUCUACUCGAUGUUUUGUACGUGGCUAUACUUCAGUUAUCUAGGCAUGCUGAUGGUUUCAAUCACACCAAGCUUGCCAUUGGCUUCAAUUUUGCUGUCAACUUCUAAUACGUUGCUCAACCUUUUUGCCGGGUUCCUUGUUCCUCGACCGCAAAUCCCAAAGUGGUGGAUUUGGUGCUAUUACUUAAUCCCAACAUCUUGGACUCUCAAUGGUUUGCUUACUUCACAAUAUGGGGAUGUUGACAGGCAAAUUGAGGUGUUUGGAGAAACUAAAACGGUAGCAGAGUUUUUGAGAGAUUACUUUGGAUUUCAUCACAAUCAACUACCCAUAGUUGGUGUUGUGUUGAUUUUGUACCCCAUUACUUUUGCUGCCUUCUUUGCUUGCUGUAUUAGGAAGUUAAAUUUCCAGAAGAGUAGGUUGCAAGAACUUCGAUCAACGUGUACAAACUACAAAGUCUGUAUUCCUCUCUACCUGCCUAGGUUAGUGAAGAGGUGAAUUCUGAUCGGCUGGAGUGAACUGAGAGCUGAAAGCACUGCAGCUGAAGAGGUCACAGCGGGCUUGGUCACCUGCUUAAAUUACAAGGGGGGCUGAAUCCCCCGGUAGAACUCCGAAACUUAAGUCAGUUCGGGAUUGGGAAAAUAGCUUAAUAGAGAGAAUCAGUGUAUGGUUUUUAUCAGGAAAAUUGGUCAUCCCCUUUCUCAGUAGAAGCCUUGAGUAUUUAUAGAGGAUGGACAGGAAAGAGGGACUGCUGGCACGGGUCCCUAGAGAUCUGGCAGGGUCAGCGCAUCAAGGUGAUUUGAUGGGCUCUGCGGAAAGGUGCGCCGGAACAGUCAUGUGUCAGGCGGCGCAUGUCAGAGCAGCUUUAUCAGAGGUGUCAGAGGUCAUGUUCCACAACUCCGGUUGUCAGGUCGUUAUACUUCAUUUCGGCUUUGUGAGGGAAAGCCUUGGCCGAGGCGGUAACUGGGCCGAAGUCAAUUCACGAUGGUGAUAGGCCGAGGCGGUCGAAACAGAGGUACCACAGGACAGGGCCCCAGCGCUAUCUGAGCUGGAGAUACCCUCCUCACUAAGCCCCCCAAGCCUUGGGAAGGGCGGGGUCGUUGCUUUCCGAGGUAGCUACUUCCCGAGGCUGACAAGAGUGUAGAACACGGAAUACAGUAAGGACACGUCAUGACUGCGCGGAUGGGACUGGGAAGGAAGUGAAAUGAUGGCUGUCAGCCUUAAUGUCAGAUCCAGGGAUGGACGUGAAAUCAACGGUCAGAUGAACAGUCCCCCCAUUAAUGAGGAGAGAAGUCGUGUCCUCGAGGAUGCCAAAGCAAUGGCUAGGACAGCACGCACCCACAAAGAGACGGUGAGGCCCGACUUCACCGAAGCAGAGAGGCCAGAUCCUUCCGAGGAGAGAACCGCUUCUGAGGCCGGGGAAGGGGGGGCCGAAGCGUCUCAUCAGGUCGGGACACCCCAGGAACAGAGCGAGGAAACCGAGGUCGAAGCGGAGGUCCUCUAUAACGAUGACCUCUGAUAGGGAGUAGAACAAAAAUAUGAUAAUAAGUACCAAUUUGGCAGAAAAGGAGCCCAAGUGAUAGAGCCUGCCCCAGGGGCAUUUUUCGAAAAGAAGAU